This 523-nucleotide ribosomal RNA is filed under the name uncultured bacterium. RNAcentral's name for it is "partial 16S ribosomal RNA". It matches the Rfam family "Bacterial small subunit ribosomal RNA", at positions 28 to 523 of the family's 1533-position model. The record is from RNAcentral.
GACGAACGCUGGCGGCGUGCCUAAUACAUGCAAGUCGAACGCUUUUUCUUUCACCGGAGCUUGCUCCACCGAAAGAAAAAGAGUGGCGAACGGGUGAGUAACACGUGGGUAACCUGCCCAUCAGAAGGGGAUAACACUUGGAAACAGGUGCUAAUACCGUAUAACACUAUUUUCCGCAUGGAAGAAAGUUGAAAGGCGCUUUUGCGUCACUGAUGGAUGGACCCGCGGUGCAUUAGCUAGUUGGUGAGGUAACGGCUCACCAAGGCAACGAUGCAUAGCCGACCUGAGAGGGUGAUCGGCCACACUGGGACUGAGACACGGCCCAGACUCCUACGGGAGGCAGCAGUAGGGAAUCUUCGGCAAUGGACGAAAGUCUGACCGAGCAACGCCGCGUGAGUGAAGAAGGUUUUCGGAUCGUAAAACUCUGUUGUUAGAGAAGAACAAGGAUGAGAGUAAAAUGUUCAUCCCUUGACGGUAUCUAACUAGAAAGCCACGGCUAACUACGUGCCAGCAGCCGCGGUAA